GUUGAAAGAGAGGUCAGCAGGCCAACUAUUAAGAUACUUUAUGGAUAAGAAUCAUGAACUUCAAUGAUAUUUUAGAUUUUAGUCAAAAUGAUUUGUGUGUUAAAGUGCUUUACUAAGUGUUUUGCAUGCAUAUAUACAUCGUAUAUACAUAUUUGCCAAUGAGAACUUGACUGGACCAGUGUUUGCCAGUCUCUCUGGGUUUAUACGAGAGAUUCUUAUUCUCCUUCACGGUAUGCACUUCCUCAUUUUAAAUUAGUGUUGUGAGAAAAUGUAUGACCUGCUAAGAAACAAAUUCAAAAAUUUGUUGUAUUCGGCUACAAGGAAUCAUAUAUGAAAAUGUAGGUUGGUGUUUAACUAUUAUACAUGUU
This 368-nucleotide long non-coding RNA is filed under the name Mustela putorius furo (domestic ferret). RNAcentral describes it as "lncRNA (ENSMPUG00000024770.1)". The record is from RNAcentral. Lineage: Eukaryota; Metazoa; Chordata; Mammalia; Carnivora; Mustelidae.